Molecule: unclassified non-coding RNA, 378 nt
Filed under: uncultured Parachlamydiaceae bacterium
Lineage: Bacteria; Pseudomonadati; Chlamydiota; Chlamydiia; Parachlamydiales; Parachlamydiaceae
Description: contains 16S-23S intergenic spacer region
Source: RNAcentral
UCCUGGUUAACCCAGGCAGUCUCACUAGAGUUCCCACCUUCACGUGUUGGCAACUAGUAAUAAGGGUUGCGCUCGUUGCGGGACUUAACCCAACACCUCACGGCACGAGCUGACGACAGCCAUGCAGCACCUGUGCAGCGGCCCCUAAAGGAGGCGUAAUUUCUUACGCUGUCCACUGCAUGUCAAGCCUGGGUAAGGUUCUUCGCGUUGCAUCGAAUUAAACCACAUGCUCCACUGCUUGUGCGGGUCCCCGUCAAUUCUUUUGAGUUUCACCCUUGCGAGUGUACUCCCCAGGCGGUAUACUUAACGCGUUCGCUACGGCACAACCAGGGUUGAGUCCGGUUACACCAAGUAUACAUCGUUUACAGCAAGGACUAC